GACGAACGCUGGCGGCGUGCUUAACACAUGCAAGUCGGACGGAAAGGCCCUGCUUUUGUGGGGUGCUCGAGUGGCGAACGGGUGAGUAACACGUGAGUAACCUGCCCUUGACUUUGGGAUAACUUCAGGAAACUGGGGCUAAUACCGGAUAGGAGCUCCUGCUGCAUGGUGGGGGUUGGAAAGUUUCGGCGGUUGGGGAUGGACUCGCGGCUUAUCAGCUUGUUGGUGGGGUAGUGGCUUACCAAGGCUUUGACGGGUAGCCGGCCUGAGAGGGUGACCGGCCACAUUGGGACUGAGAUACGGCCCAGACUCCUACGGGAGGCAGCAGUGGGGAAUAUUGCACAAUGGGCGGAAGCCUGAUGCAGCAACGCCGCGUGCGGGAUGACGGCCUUCGGGCUGUAAACCGCUUUCGCCUGUGACGAAGCGUGAGUGACGGUAAUGGGUAAAGAAGCACCGGCUAACUACGUG
RNAcentral lists this ribosomal RNA (468 nucleotides) under uncultured bacterium. RNAcentral's name for it is "partial 16S ribosomal RNA". It matches the Rfam family "Bacterial small subunit ribosomal RNA", at positions 28 to 507 of the family's 1533-position model. The record is from RNAcentral.